RNAcentral lists this ribosomal RNA (497 nucleotides) under uncultured bacterium. RNAcentral describes it as "partial 16S ribosomal RNA". It matches the Rfam family "Bacterial small subunit ribosomal RNA", at positions 28 to 507 of the family's 1533-position model. The record is from RNAcentral.
GAUGAACGCUGGCGGCGUGCCUAAUACAUGCAAGUCGAGCGAACGGACGAGAAGCUUGCUUCUCUGAUGUUAGCGGCGGACGGGUGAGUAACACGUGGAUAACCUACCUAUAAGACUGGGAUAACUUCGGGAAACCGGAGCUAAUACCGGAUGAUAUUUUGAACCGCAUGGUUCAAAAGUGAAAGACGGUCUUGCUGUCACUUAUAGAUGGAUCCGCGCUGCAUUAGCUAGUUGGUAAGGUAACGGCUUACCAAGGCAACGAUGCAUAGCCGACCUGAGAGGGUGAUCGGCCACACUGGAACUGAGACACGGUCCAGACUCCUACGGGAGGCAGCAGUAGGGAAUGUUCCGCAAAGGGCGAAAGCCUGACGGAGCAACGCCGCGUGAGUGAUGAAGGUCUUCGGAUCGUAAAACUCUGUUAUUAGGGAAGAACAUAUGUGUAAGUAACUGUGCACAUCUUGACGGUACCUAAUCAGAAAGCAACGGCUAACUACGUG